Molecule: long non-coding RNA, 1816 nt
Filed under: Homo sapiens (human)
Lineage: Eukaryota; Metazoa; Chordata; Mammalia; Primates; Hominidae
Description: HSALNT0390757
Source: RNAcentral
AGGGGAGGCGCGGGGAGCUUGCUGCGGCUCCUCACCCGGACCUGGGAGAAGACGCCCCCCACCCUCUCUAGUUCGCCCUCUCCAUUCAAGUUUGCCGGCCCCUGCCGCCGAGAUCCGGGAAUGGCACCAGCCGCCCGCCCUCCGCUGUGCCCUGUUUCCAGCCACCGCUCAGAAAUUUAGGUCAAGGACGUCGGGAGCAAACCCACACCCUGGCGCUCCUUUGGCGGCCCCCGAGACGCCCCAGGAUCGGGGGGCUUCAGGAUGGCGGAGACCCUCCUGCACAAACACCAGCCACAAGUUUUAUUUUCCUUUUGCGCUGGAAGUUCUCUCUGGCUCUGGCUCCACACCGGCACGUCUUGCGCGGUUCCCCGCCCUUCCCCAGUAGAGGAUUAGGAGACAAAGGAAUACACUCAACACCAAAACUGAACCAAAUCCACUGUGGGCUUUGGAAAAAUGGAAUAUUGGGAAAAUCUCAACACCAGCCAUAGCCUUGAGUGACCAGACCCUCAGUCUCCCUGUUCCCUAAAUUGCAGUAAUUCCUCCUUGACAGGAUUGAUGUGGUGAAGCUCACUCAAUGUAGCCCCUGCAUCAGGAGAAUUCAAGCAGCACAAUAUCAGUCCUCAACCCUCUGAAAGUCUCAACAGCCCAAGACAAUGUUGGACACUUCCUUCUUCAAACUCAAUCUUCCAGGAUGGGUUUAAACACAUGGUGAUGCCACUCAAAUUGAAAUCUCCAGCCCCACCCUUCCUGAAGAGCUCCAGGCUCUGGUCAAUUUCCUAUUCAACAUCUCCACUUAGCCUUUCUAAAGGAAGCCCAAGUUCAAAUCCAUCUUUCUUGCUGCUGCAUCCCAGAUCUCCCACCUGAGGCCCUGCAACAGCUUACAAAACAGUCUUCCCACAUACACCCUUACUCCACUUACAUGCCUGGAAAUCUUUCCCAGACCUCUCUGACAGGGUCGAAUGCCCUUUGAUAUGCAGUUACCUUACCAGAACGUCCUCUGUGUACCUUACCCUGUAUGAUCAUUUGCUUUAUUGCCCAUCUCCUCUAAGCCAGAAGCUCCCGUGCCUUUCUGCUCUCCAUGUACUAGCACAGUGCCUGCUGGCGCACGGUUGACGCUCAAUAAAUAAUGAUUGACUGAAUGAGUGAGUGGAUGAAUGAAUGAAUGAUGGCCAACAUUUAAUUUCAUUCUAGGAUUCUUUUUGUAUUCAUGUUCAUAAGUCAAAUUGGCUGCAGUUUUUCCUUUUCUUACUGCCUUUGUCUGGUUAUACUGGUCUCAUAAAAUGAACCGGUAAAUGUUCCUUCUUUUUUCAUUUUCUGGAACAGUGUGUGUAAGAUUGGAAUUAUGUGUUCCUUGAAUGUUUGGUAGUUUUGCAGGUAAAUUGUCUGGGUCUGGGAUAGACAUUUCGUGGGUUGAUUUUUAACUACUGAUUCCAUUUCUUUAAUGCUCGUAGAUCUCUUCAGGUUUUCUGUUUUCUUCUUGAAUCUAUUUUUAUACACUAUGUUUUUCAAGGAAAUUAUCCAUACCAUCUAGGUUUUCAAAUGUGUUGACAAAAUGCUGUUCAUAGUUAUCUCUUAAUGUAUUUUAAUCUCUGCUCUAUCUAUCCAUAAUGUUUUUUUUUCAUUCUAAAUAUCAUUUUAUAUGUAUUUUUUCUUAUCUGGAUCAGCUGUGCCAGAGAUCUUUUUUUUUUACUAAUGUUUUCUUUCUACUUUCUAUUAGUGUUUCCAAAGAACCAGACUUUAGUUUCAAUAUUGUUUCUUUUUCUGUUCCAGUAAGUUUUGUUCUUAUAUAUUAUUAUAUAUUAUAUUGUUAUAUAUG